GCUCGCAUAGAUCAAUUGGUUAGAUCGCCUUGCAAAAUGUGGGAAAUAUUUGUAUAGCUUAUGCAGGAGACGGAGGUUCGAAUCCUCCUGCGGGUA
Mycena metata is the source of this 96-nucleotide non-coding RNA. The record is from the annotation of a GenBank genome assembly. Lineage: Eukaryota; Fungi; Basidiomycota; Agaricomycetes; Agaricales; Mycenaceae.